This 1510-nucleotide ribosomal RNA is filed under the name Staphylococcus aureus. RNAcentral's name for it is "partial 16S ribosomal RNA". The record is from RNAcentral. Lineage: Bacteria; Bacillati; Bacillota; Bacilli; Caryophanales; Staphylococcaceae.
AGAGUUUGAAUCCUGGCUCAGGAUGAACGCUGGCGGCGUGCCUAAUACAUGCAAGUCGAGCGAACGGACGAGAAGCUUGCUUCUCUGAUGUUAGCGGCGGACGGGUGAGUAACACGUGGAUAACCUACCUAUAAGACUGGGAUAACUUCGGGAAACCGGAGCUAAUACCGGAUAAUAUUUUGAACCGCAUGGUUCAAAAGUGAAAGACGGUCUUGCUGUCACUUAUAGAUGGAUCCGCGCUGCAUUAGCUAGUUGGUAAGGUAACGGCUUACCAAGGCAACGAUGCAUAGCCGACCUGAGAGGGUGAUCGGCCACACUGGAACUGAGACACGGUCCAGACUCCUACGGGAGGCAGCAGUAGGGAAUCUUCCGCAAUGGGCGAAAGCCUGACGGAGCAACGCCGCGUGAGUGAUGAAGGUCUUCGGAUCGUAAAACUCUGUUAUUAGGGAAGAACAUAUGUGUAAGUAACUGUGCACAUCUUGACGGUACCUAAUCAGAAAGCCACGGCUAACUACGUGCCAGCAGCCGCGGUAAUACGUAGGUGGCAAGCGUUAUCCGGAAUUAUUGGGCGUAAAGCGCGCGUAGGCGGUUUUUUAAGUCUGAUGUGAAAGCCCACGGCUCAACCGUGGAGGGUCAUUGGAAACUGGAAAACUUGAGUGCAGAAGAGGAAAGUGGAAUUCCAUGUGUAGCGGUGAAAUGCGCAGAGAUAUGGAGGAACACCAGUGGCGAAGGCGACUUUCUGGUCUGUAACUGACGCUGAUGUGCGAAAGCGUGGGGAUCAAACAGGAUUAGAUACCCUGGUAGUCCACGCCGUAAACGUGAUGAGUGCUAAGUGUUAGGGGGUUUCCGCCCCUUAGUGCUGCAGCUAACGCAUUAAGCACUCCGCCUGCAGGSWGUACGACCGCAAGGUUGAAACUCAAAGGAAUUGACGGGGACCCGCACAAGCGGUGGAGCAUGUGGUUUAAUUCGAAGCAACGCGAAGAACCUUACCAAAUCUUGACAUCCUUUGACAACUCUAGAGAUAGAGCUUUCCCCUUCGGGGGACAAAGUGACAGGUGGUGCAUGGUUGUCGUCAGCUCGUGUCGUGAGAUGUUGGGUUAAGUCCCGCAACGAGCGCAACCCUUAAGCUUAGUUGCCAUCAUUAAGUUGGGCACUCUAAGUUGACUGCCGGUGACAAACCGGAGGAAGGUGGGGAUGACGUCAAAUCAUCAUGCCCCUUAUGAUUUGGGCUACACACGUGCUACAAUGGACAAUACAAAGGGCAGCGAAACCGCGAGGUCAAGCAAAUCCCAUAAAGUUGUUCUCAGUUCGGAUUGUAGUCUGCAACUCGACUACAUGAAGCUGGAAUCGCUAGUAAUCGUAGAUCAGCAUGCUACGGUGAAUACGUUCCCGGGUCUUGUACACACCGCCCGUCACACCACGAGAGUUUGUAACACCCGAAGCCGGUGGAGUAACCUUUUAGGAGCUAGCCGUCGAAGGUGGGACAAAUGAUUGGGGUGAAGUCGUACAA